This 233-nucleotide long non-coding RNA is filed under the name Fukomys damarensis (Damara mole-rat). RNAcentral's name for it is "lncRNA (ENSFDAG00000026624.1)". The record is from RNAcentral. Lineage: Eukaryota; Metazoa; Chordata; Mammalia; Rodentia; Bathyergidae.
CCACUUCACAAAGAUAAGACAGCUGGCAAAACAGCACGCACUCACAAACUACACCCACAAAUUAAAGGACGCAUGACUACUCCAGUAAUCGGGCUGCUCUCAUGGAUAACAUGGAAACCAAUAUCUGCAAUACGAUGUGACAGGGAAGAGUUUGCAGCCUGCUUUGGAGAAGACUAACAUUUGAUUAAACCUAAUGGCCAAAGACUAUACAAAAGUAAGGACUGUGUAACCGG